GGCGAAAUUGGUAGACGCACCAGAUUUAGGUUCUGGCGCCGCGAGGCGUAAGAGUUCAAGUCUCUUCUUCCGCACCA
This 77-nucleotide transfer RNA is filed under the name Vibrio cholerae. RNAcentral describes it as "tRNA-Leu". It matches the Rfam family "tRNA", at positions 9 to 71 of the family's 71-position model. Rfam says of the family: Transfer RNA (tRNA) molecules are approximately 80 nucleotides in length. Lineage: Bacteria; Pseudomonadati; Pseudomonadota; Gammaproteobacteria; Vibrionales; Vibrionaceae. The record is from RNAcentral.